RNAcentral lists this ribosomal RNA (253 nucleotides) under uncultured bacterium. RNAcentral's name for it is "partial 16S ribosomal RNA". It matches the Rfam family "Bacterial small subunit ribosomal RNA", at positions 524 to 776 of the family's 1533-position model. The record is from RNAcentral.
UACAGAGGUGGCAAGCGUUGUUCGGAAUUACUGGGCGUAAAGGGCUCGUAGGCGGCCAACUAAGUCAGACGUGAAAUCCCCAGGCUCAACCUGGGAACUGCGUCUGAUACUGGAUGGCUUGAAUCCGGGAGAGGGAUGCAGAAUUCCAGGUGUAGCGGUGAAAUGCGUAGAUAUCUGGAGGAAUACCGGUGGCGAAGGCGGCAUCCUGGACCGGCAUUGACGCUGAGGAGCGAAGGCCAGGGGAGCAAACGGG